GCUCCCGGGUCCAGGGGAAGCUGGAGGAGGCUGGGGCCCAAAUGUCUGAUUACCAAGAGGGGAGGAAACCGGCAAGACGAGGGUUGCUAUGUGACAUACAGAAAAAUAUGAUCAGGGCAGAGGAAGCAAUUGCUUUUGGCGGAAGCUUCAUUGGAUGGCAAUUUCGACACCAAGGCCUCCCUUCCCACCCUGAGCCUGCCCACUGGGGAAUUCCAGGAGCUGGCCCAGAGGAAGGGAGAGGGGACGGCAAGUGAGAGGAGGAGGCAGGGUCAACACAGCCCCAUCCCCAACAGCCUAAGGACACAAACUGCACCCAGGAAGGAGUCUGACCUGUGGGCCUGGAUUCUGGGGCCCCAGAGAAGCCCCGGGCCCAGGACCGGGAGAGCGAGAAGGAAGUUCCGACAGAGCCCGGCAUGUGGGGUUACCUGUCUGUGCUGCCCGCUUUCCUGGCCUUUUCCGCUAUCACUGGAGUCUGGAGUGUUUUUGCCCUUGCCGUGACCAACAGGUCUGUGAACCUCACGGAAGGUUUCCCCUAUAUCAGCCUCUGCGGGUCUUACCCCCCUCAGAGCUGCAUCUUCAGCCAGCUGCUCAACAUGGGAGCUGCUAUGGGAGUCCGGGCCGGCUUGCCCGCCCACUUCCCUCUCCUCCCAGCCGCCUGGAUCUGCAUUAUCCGUUACCACCAGCUCCGGGACUGGGGAGUCAGAAAAUGGUUUAACCGGCUGAUCCUGUGGACGGGGCUCCUGUGUGCCCUGGGCACCUCCGUGGUGGGCAACUUCCAGCAAAAGAACCAGCUGCAGAUGCACCUGGUCGGGGCCUUCUUCGCCUUAUUCAUGGGCAACUCCUACUUUUGGCUGCAGCUUAUUCUUGUCUGGUGCACGAAGAGACUGCCCCAGCCCGGGGCCCCCUGGAUCGGGCCACUCCGUCUGGGCCUCUGCAGCCUCUGCACCAUCCUCUUGGUGACCAUGAUGAUCCUCCACUUCUGGCCGCUGCGCUCGGCCUCGGCCGCCUGCGAGUGGGCCAUCGCCAUGCUGCUGUUUGCACUCUUUGGCCUGGUUGCGGUGGACUUUUCCUGCCUGGACGGCUGCACCCUGCACCUCCAGCCGGGCCACCUCAGCUCCCCGCCAGCCUCCCCCACCUCCCUGCAGAUCCACCUGUGAACAGUAGCCCGAGUGACGAGGUCUGGGCCCCCUCCCUCCGUGCUGCCAUCAGGGCCACCCAGGAAAGACACGGACGCAGGCAGGGUCACGCGAAACCAGAAUUCCUUCCGGAGAGCAAAUCCGUACAGAAGGAUAAAGGAGGGCCCCACGGCUUCGGACGCCACCCACCUGCCAGGGCCUGCACGGAGGGCUGGUCGUGAGUGCUCAGCAGCUGCGCCUGGAUGGUCUCCACCACUCGCUUGAACCGACGGCUGGGACCUGGAGGGGAAGGAGAUGGGCUGACUUGGGGACAGAGACAGAAAAGGCCCUCCCACCCUGUGGAAACCAGCAAAGGACUCGCCUCCUCUUGGGCUCAAUUUCAGGCCCUGUGUUGGGACUAGGUAUAGACCCGCGAUUUGCAAAUGGGAUGAGAAAGAUUGGAGUUAAAAUAAUGAUGGGUGUGGCUUUCUAUUUAUCGUGUUAGUUUCCAGCUGAGGCCACGAAGAGCCAGAAAUAUAAGAAAAAUAAACAGGAAGUUAAAAAAAA
This is an RNA transcript of Lontra canadensis (Northern American river otter), 1682 nucleotides long. It is a transcript of the gene named transmembrane protein 150B, with no coding region annotated. The transcript has 10 exons. The record is from RefSeq and is a predicted model, not a curated record. NCBI's taxonomy places the organism in Eukaryota, Metazoa, Chordata, Mammalia, Carnivora, Mustelidae.